Molecule: long non-coding RNA, 829 nt
Filed under: Aotus nancymaae (Ma's night monkey)
Lineage: Eukaryota; Metazoa; Chordata; Mammalia; Primates; Aotidae
Description: lncRNA (ENSANAG00000038839.1)
Source: RNAcentral
AUUUUUUUUUAGAACAUAUAUACUUUCAAAGCAUGUGUAUUUUAACAAGCAGAAUGUAAGCCCCAUGAGAAUACAACCCUUGCCUAUCUUAUUCACCAAUAUAGUCCCAAUAGUUCUAUCAGUGUCUGGCAAAUAGUAGGCACUCGAUAAAUAUGCCUUGACUAAAUAAAUAUAUGCUUCUUUUAAGAGAUGCAUUAUUAGGCAGCCAACCCAUUUUUCCAUUCAUGCUAACGAUAACCUUUAAAAAAAAAUUAAUCUGCUGCGGCAACAGCCAAGAAUGAGCUAAAAAUUCCUCCCCGCUUCUCCUGACUAUCCGUCAGAGACAUAGAGCAUCCCCUGUCAGAUGGCUGUCAGACCCAAGCUGAAAUAACUGCUGUCCUCUCCAUCAACUUACAGCAUCUAUGCCUCGUACCCUGAGGAAGAUAUGGAAAUGGCUUGCAAUAAGAGGACUAGCCAGACAAGAGCUGCACUCCAUUCUGAAGGAGUGGUUCAAGAGCCAACCUUGUUUAAAAGCCUGAAAAUCAGGAAAAUUUCCAGAGUCACUUUGGACCAUGUUUGUUAAAGAGAUUUUCUGUUGGGAAGAACAGGGAGGCUAACAGAGCUAAGAACCAGAAGAAUCAGAGAGAGAGAGAGAGAAGACAUUCAGUCCUGCAGCAAUCCACGCUCAGAAAACUGAGCAGAAAGAAGAGGAAAAGAAUGAGGAAAGCAGUACCAGAGUUUUCAAAAUCCUUUCACCGUAAGGCUUGUUUCUGGAUUGGUCUUCCAUACAUUAACUAUGUUCUGACAGUCAGAGAAUAGUUUAUAUGUGUUCAUUGCUCAACAAAUAUGU